Molecule: long non-coding RNA, 1180 nt
Organism: Eucalyptus grandis
Lineage: Eukaryota; Viridiplantae; Streptophyta; Magnoliopsida; Myrtales; Myrtaceae
Exons: 2
Source: RefSeq, a predicted model, not a curated record
CUCUUCCUUUUCUCCUGGCUAUGCCUCACCCAGCCUCCUUUGAUCUCCUCUUCCCCAUUCCACACAGGUUGGCCCCUUUCCUUUCCCCUUCGACCCAACCGGCGCAUUGGUCUCUUGCAUCUCUGCAAACGAAAUACAAAAGCAAAGCAGAGGUGGGAGCAAGGCCAGGGCCACACCCAAGCCACGUCUGGGGGUCAAUUUCUCGACGAUCAUGGCUUGGAGGCAUGGGAAGCAACCGAUCAUCAUCCGAUUUGUCAAGCUCGCCCUCCAUUCACUACUCCCAAGCCGGGUAGGGCCAUUGCCGUUAAUGCCCUUCUUUUUUACUUUACUUUGAAUCCCUUAUUAAAUUCUGUUUUUGGGGGGCUCUCCGGGCUAGCGCUCAAGGCCAUUCAGCUUGCACAAGCUCUAGCCCACGUUGCCCUUGCAUUUUGUUAUGGUAUUCUCGAAUGUCAUGCCUUAAGGCCACUGGCGUAAGUUAAAGUCCCAGUUUGGGUCAGCAACCCUUCAUCCCAGUAGCGGACUCCAAUUGUUUGCAUAAAUGCUUGAGUGAGAUCUGUUUUUAUUCUACCAUUUUUGUUCGGAGUAGUCACUUGUGCUCAGCCACGCCUUAUCGAGCUGCCCUAUGGUGUUGGCACUCCCAAGCGCCCGCUGUUUGGUUGAUUCAACGUACGCUGUCACCCUUCCACCAUUUUCCGUCUUGGCCAGCUUUUGCUAGGGCUGACCGAGGACGAUAAGGCUAAGGCGUCUAACCUCUUCGAAUGAGUACAAGGUCAUGGUGAUGUGCAGCGGGAUCUACAGGAUAGCACUUCUGAACCUGGAGACAGUAAUUGGAGGUGCCUGCCAGAUCAUCCUAGGAUAAGAGUAUUCAGAGAUGUAAUAUUCUACAAAAGGGCUCUUUCAUAUUGUGGAUUCCUAUAGGGGCAUGGCAAAUAUUGUUGCAAUCGGAUGAUAACGAUCUGAAAAUAGAGACGAUCACCCUGACACUGGCACAGCGAGCACAACUAGACGAUCCAUACAGCGGACAAUCAUGUACUCAUUUGGUGGAAGCAUCAUGGGAAAAUAUGCUGUUGUUUCAACGACAAAAAUGAUCAAGGCAUCCAUUUUACAGGUUAUUUCCAUCUCUAAUGAUAAGAGAACCAGUUUUGCUAUUAUCAAUUAUAUGAUGCUUAUUUCUCUGUUU